RNAcentral lists this ribosomal RNA (2902 nucleotides) under Klebsiella pneumoniae. Its description in RNAcentral is "23S ribosomal RNA". It matches the Rfam family "Bacterial large subunit ribosomal RNA". Lineage: Bacteria; Pseudomonadati; Pseudomonadota; Gammaproteobacteria; Enterobacterales; Enterobacteriaceae. The record is from RNAcentral.
GGUUAAGCGACUAAGCGUACACGGUGGAUGCCCUGGCAGUCAGAGGCGAUGAAGGACGUGCUAAUCUGCGAAAAGCGUCGGUAAGGUGAUAUGAACCGUUAUAACCGGCGAUGUCCGAAUGGGGAAACCCAGUGUGAUUCGUCACACUAUCGUUAACUGAAUACAUAGGUUAACGAGGCGAACCGGGGGAACUGAAACAUCUAAGUACCCCGAGGAAAAGAAAUCAACCGAGAUUCCCCCAGUAGCGGCGAGCGAACGGGGAGCAGCCCAGAGUCUGAAUCAGCUUGUGUGUUAGUGGAACGGUCUGGAAAGUCCGACGGUACAGGGUGAUAGUCCCGUACACCAAAAUGCACAGGCUGUGAACUCGAAGAGUAGGGCGGGACACGUGGUAUCCUGUCUGAAUAUGGGGGGACCAUCCUCCAAGGCUAAAUACUCCUGACUGACCGAUAGUGAACCAGUACCGUGAGGGAAAGGCGAAAAGAACCCCGGCGAGGGGAGUGAAAAAGAACCUGAAACCGUGUACGUACAAGCAGUGGGAGCACCUUCGGGUGUGACUGCGUACCUUUUGUAUAAUGGGUCAGCGACUUAUAUUCUGUAGCAAGGUUAACCGUAUAGGGGAGCCGCAGGGAAACCGAGUCUUAACUGGGCGUUAAGUUGCAGGGUAUAGACCCGAAACCCGGUGAUCUAGCCAUGGGCAGGUUGAAGGUUGGGUAACACUAACUGGAGGACCGAACCGACUAAUGUUGAAAAAUUAGCGGAUGACUUGUGGCUGGGGGUGAAAGGCCAAUCAAACCGGGAGAUAGCUGGUUCUCCCCGAAAGCUAUUUAGGUAGCGCCUCGUGAACUCAUCUUCGGGGGUAGAGCACUGUUUCGGCUAGGGGGUCAUCCCGACUUACCAACCCGAUGCAAACUACGAAUACCGAAGAAUGUUAUCACGGGAGACACACGGCGGGUGCUAACGUCCGUCGUGAAGAGGGAAACAACCCAGACCGCCAGCUAAGGUCCCAAAGUCAUGGUUAAGUGGGAAACGAUGUGGGAAGGCACAGACAGCCAGGAUGUUGGCUUAGAAGCAGCCAUCAUUUAAAGAAAGCGUAAUAGCUCACUGGUCGAGUCGGCCUGCGCGGAAGAUGUAACGGGGCUAAACCAUGCACCGAAGCUGCGGCAGCGACACUAUGUGUUGUUGGGUAGGGGAGCGUUCUGUAAGCCUGCGAAGGUGACCUGUGAGGGUUGCUGGAGGUAUCAGAAGUGCGAAUGCUGACAUAAGUAACGAUAAAGCGGGUGAAAAGCCCGCUCGCCGGAAGACCAAGGGUUCCUGUCCAACGUUAAUCGGGGCAGGGUGAGUCGACCCCUAAGGCGAGGCCGAAAGGCGUAGUCGAUGGGAAACAGGUUAAUAUUCCUGUACUUGGUGUUACUGCGAAGGGGGGACGGAGAAGGCUAUGUUAGCCGGGCGACGGUUGUCCCGGUUUAAGCAUGUAGGCUGAUUGUCCAGGCAAAUCCGGAUAAUCAAGGCUGAGGUGUGAUGACGAGGCACUACGGUGCUGAAGUAACAAAUGCCCUGCUUCCAGGAAAAGCCUCUAAGCAUCAGGUAACAUCAAAUCGUACCCCAAACCGACACAGGUGGUCAGGUAGAGAAUACCAAGGCGCUUGAGAGAACUCGGGUGAAGGAACUAGGCAAAAUGGUGCCGUAACUUCGGGAGAAGGCACGCUGGUGUGUAGGUGAAGUCCCUGCGGAUGGAGCUGAGACCAGUCGAAGAUACCAGCUGGCUGCAACUGUUUAUUAAAAACACAGCACUGUGCAAACACGAAAGUGGACGUAUACGGUGUGACGCCUGCCCGGUGCCGGAAGGUUAAUUGAUGGGGUUAUCCGUAAGGAGAAGCUCUUGAUCGAAGCCCCGGUAAACGGCGGCCGUAACUAUAACGGUCCUAAGGUAGCGAAAUUCCUUGUCGGGUAAGUUCCGACCUGCACGAAUGGCGUAAUGAUGGCCAGGCUGUCUCCACCCGAGACUCAGUGAAAUUGAACUCGCUGUGAAGAUGCAGUGUACCCGCGGCAAGACGGAAAGACCCCGUGAACCUUUACUAUAGCUUGACACUGAACAUUGAGCCUUGAUGUGUAGGAUAGGUGGGAGGCUUUGAAGCGUGGACGCCAGUCUGCGUGGAGCCAACCUUGAAAUACCACCCUUUAAUGUUUGAUGUUCUAACGUUGGCCCCUGACCGGGGUUGCGGACAGUGUCUGGUGGGUAGUUUGACUGGGGCGGUCUCCUCCCAAAGCGUAACGGAGGAGCACGAAGGUUAGCUAAUCCUGGUCGGACAUCAGGAGGUUAGUGCAAUGGCAUAAGCUAGCUUGACUGCGAGCGUGACGGCGCGAGCAGGUGCGAAAGCAGGUCAUAGUGAUCCGGUGGUUCUGAAUGGAAGGGCCAUCGCUCAACGGAUAAAAGGUACUCCGGGGAUAACAGGCUGAUACCGCCCAAGAGUUCAUAUCGACGGCGGUGUUUGGCACCUCGAUGUCGGCUCAUCACAUCCUGGGGCUGAAGUAGGUCCCAAGGGUAUGGCUGUUCGCCAUUUAAAGUGGUACGCGAGCUGGGUUUAGAACGUCGUGAGACAGUUCGGUCCCUAUCUGCCGUGGGCGCUGGAGAAUUGAGGGGGGCUGCUCCUAGUACGAGAGGACCGGAGUGGACGCAUCACUGGUGUUCGGGUUGUCAUGCCAAUGGCACUGCCCGGUAGCUAAAUGCGGAAGAGAUAAGUGCUGAAAGCAUCUAAGCACGAAACUUGCCCCGAGAUGAGUUCUCCCUGAGACUUUAAGUCUCCUGAAGGAACGUUGAAGACGACGACGUUGAUAGGCCGGGUGUGUAAGCGCAGCGAUGCGUUGAGCUAACCGGUACUAAUGAACCGUGAGGCUUAACCUU